CGCGCGGGAGGGGCGGGGCCACGCUGCGGGCCCGGGCCAUGGCCGCCGCCGAUGCCGAGAGACGAGGUUUUUGCCAUGUUGCCCAGGCUGGUCUCAAACUCCUGGACUCAAGCAAUCUGCCCGCCUUGGCCUCCCAAAGUGCUGUGAUUACAGAGGCAGUUCCGGCGAGGGGGGAGCCUCAGCAGGAUUGCUGUGUGAAAACCGAGCUGCUGGGAGAAGCAGAGACACCUAUGGCUGCCGAUGAAGGCUCAGCAGAGAAACAGGCAGGAGAGGCCCACAUGGCUGCGGACGGUGAGACCAAUGGGUCUUGUGAAAACAGCGAUGCCAGCAGUCAUGCAAAUGCUGCAAAGCACACUCAGGACAGCGCAAGGGUCAACCCCCAGGAUGGCACCAACACUCUAACCCGGAUAGCGGAAAACGGGGUUUCAGAAAGAGACUCAGAAGCGGGGAAGCAAAACCACGUCACUGCCGAUGACUUUGUGCAGACUUCUGUCAUCGGCAGCAACGGAUACAUCUUAAAUAAGCCGGCCCUACAGGCACAGCCCUUGAGGACUACCAGCACUCUGGCCUCUUCGCUGCCUGGCCAUGCUGCAAAAACCCUUCCUGGAGGGGCUGGCAAAGGCAGGACUCCAAGCGCUUUUCCCCAGACGCCAGCCGCCCCACCAGCCACCCUUGGGGAGGGGAGUGCUGACACAGAGGACAGGAAGCUCCCGGCCCCUGGCGCCGACGUCAAGGUCCACAGGGCACGCAAGACCAUGCCGAAGUCCGUCGUGGGCCUGCAUGCAGCCAGUAAAGAUCCCAGAGAAGUUCGAGAAGCUAGAGAUCAUAAGGAACCAAAAGAGGAGAUCAACAAAAACAUUUCUGACUUUGGACGACAGCAGCUUUUACCCCCCUUCCCAUCCCUUCAUCAGUCGCUACCUCAGAACCAGUGCUACAUGGCCACCACAAAAUCACAGACAGCUUGCUUGCCUUUUGUUUUAGCAGCUGCAGUAUCUCGGAAGAAAAAACGAAGAAUGGGAACCUAUAGCCUGGUUCCUAAGAAAAAGACCAAAGUAUUAAAACAGAGGACGGUGAUUGAGAUGUUUAAGAGCAUAACUCAUUCCACUGUGGGUUCCAAGGGGGAGAAGGACCUGGGCGCCAGCAGCCUGCACGUGAAUGGGGAGAGCCUGGAGAUGGACUCGGAUGAGGACGACUCAGAGGAGCUCGAGGAGGAUGACAGCCAUGGCGCAGAGCAGGCGGCCGCGUUCCCCACAGAGGACAGCAGGACUUCCAAGGAGAGCAUGUCGGAGGCUGAUCGCGCCCAGAAGAUGGACGGGGAGUCCGAGGAGGAGCAGGAGUCCGUGGACACCGGGGAGGAGGAGGAAGGCGGUGACGAGUCUGACCUGAGUUCGGAAUCCAGCAUUAAGAAGAAAUUUCUCAAGAGGAAAGGAAAGACCGACAGUCCCUGGAUCAAGCCAGCCAGGAAAAGGAGGCGGAGAAGUAGAAAGAAGCCCAGCGGUGCCCUCGGUUCUGAGUCGUAUAAGUCAUCUGCAGGAAGCGCUGAGCAGACGGCACCAGGAGACAGCACAGGGUACAUGGAAGUUUCUCUGGACUCCCUGGAUCUCCGAGUCAAAGGAAUUCUGUCUUCACAAGCAGAAGGGUUGGCCAACGGUCCAGAUGUGCUGGAGACAGACGGCCUCCAGGAAGUGCCUCUCUGCAGCUGCCGGAUGGAAACACCGAAGAGUCGAGAGAUCACCACGCUGGCCAACAACCAGUGCAUGGCUACAGAGAGCGUGGACCAUGAAUUGGGCCGGUGCACAAACAGCGUGGUCAAGUAUGAGCUGAUGCGCCCCUCCAACAAGGCCCCGCUCCUCGUGCUGUGUGAAGACCACCGGGGCCGCAUGGUGAAGCACCAGUGCUGUCCUGGCUGUGGCUACUUCUGCACAGCGGGUAAUUUUAUGGAGUGUCAGCCCGAGAGCAGCAUCUCUCACCGUUUCCACAAAGACUGUGCCUCUCGAGUCAAUAACGCCAGCUAUUGUCCCCACUGUGGGGAGGAGAGCUCCAAGGCCAAAGAGGUGACGAUAGCUAAAGCAGACACCACCUCGACCGUGACACCAGUCCCCGGGCAGGAGAAGGGCUCGGCCCUGGAGGGCAGGGCCGACACCACAACGGGCAGUGCUGCCGGGCCACCGCUCUCGGAGGACGACAAGCUGCAGGGUACAGCCUCCCACGUGCCCGAGGGCUUUGAUCCAACGGGACCUGCUGGGCUUGGGAGGCCAACUCCCGGCCUUUCCCAGGGACCAGGGAAGGAAACCUUGGAGAGCGCUCUCAUCGCCCUCGACUCGGAAAAACCCAAGAAGCUUCGCUUCCACCCAAAGCAGCUGUACUUCUCCGCCAGGCAAGGGGAGCUUCAGAAGGUGCUCCUCAUGCUGGUGGACGGAAUUGACCCCAACUUCAAAAUGGAGCACCAGAAUAAGCGCUCUCCACUGCACGCCGCGGCAGAGGCUGGACACGUGGACAUCUGCCACAUGCUGGUUCAGGCGGGCGCUAAUAUUGACACCUGCUCAGAAGACCAGAGGACCCCGUUGAUGGAAGCAGCCGAAAACAACCAUCUGGAAGCAGUGAAGUACCUCAUCAAGGCCGGGGCCCUGGUGGAUCCCAAGGAUGCAGAGGGCUCUACGUGUUUGCACCUAGCUGCCAAGAAAGGCCACUACGAAGUGGUCCAGUACCUGCUUUCAAAUGGACAGAUGGACGUCAACUGUCAGGAUGACGGAGGCUGGACACCCAUGAUCUGGGCCACGGAGUACAAGCACGUGGACCUCGUGAAGCUGCUGCUGUCCAAGGGCUCUGACAUCAACAUCCGGGACAACGAGGAGAACAUUUGCCUGCACUGGGCGGCGUUCUCCGGCUGCGUGGACAUAGCCGAGAUCCUGCUGGCUGCCAAGUGUGACCUCCACGCCGUGAACAUCCACGGAGACUCACCACUGCACAUUGCCGCCCGGGAGAACCGCUACGACUGUGUCGUCCUCUUUCUUUCUCGGGAUUCAGAUGUCACCUUAAAGAACAAGGAAGGAGAGACGCCCCUGCAGUGUGCGAGCCUCAACUCUCAGGUGUGGAGCGCUCUGCAGAUGAGCAAGGCUCUGCAGGACUCGGCCCCCGACAGGCCCAGCCCCGUGGAGAGGAUAGUGAGCAGGGACAUCGCUCGAGGCUACGAGCGCAUCCCCAUCCCCUGUGUCAACGCCGUGGACAGCGAGCCAUGCCCCAGCAACUACAAGUACGUCUCUCAGAACUGCGUGACGUCCCCCAUGAACAUCGACAGAAAUAUCACUCAUCUGCAGUACUGCGUGUGCAUCGACGACUGCUCCUCCAGCAACUGCAUGUGCGGCCAGCUCAGCAUGCGCUGCUGGUACGACAAGGUGAGGGCGGCCUCGUGUGCGUGGGCUCAGGUGGUAAGUGCCGCUGGUCCGGGCCUGCAAACACAGUGCAGGCAUCUGGGACCCCAGCGCUGUCGUGGCAGCGUCGGGAAGGAGUUGGAGGUGAGCUGGGUGUGACAGGCAGGGGAGGCACAGCGGGCACCAGCACCCGAGUCGGGGUCGCGAGCCGAGGACGUGGCUGCGGAGUCCCUGGGGCUGGGGUCUGCAUCCUUCGUGGCUGCCUGGAUGGUGGCGGGGGUGGGCAGCGUCAGCCUGGCUUGGCCCCAGGAGGAGGUGCUGCUUGUGUUGUGUGUAUCUGGUAAGCUGUGCCUUGUGCUUGCUGAGUGUGAGGGGUGUGAAGAGGGAGGGUGCUGCCGGGCUGGGUACAGGGAGCAUCAGUGUGGGCGCUGGGCUUGAGGAGACACAGGAUUGGAAGUUUCUGGUGGGUGCUGGUCCUCGGAGGAGCCCAGGUUGGAGGCUGCUGAGGAGGAGAUGGGAGUGGGGAGUAGCCCUGGCUAGCAGGGGUGCAAUUCAGGGGAGGGAUGUCUAAGCAGAGGCGGAGAGUUCCUGGUCUCCCAAGUUCAGAGGUCACGGUGGGGGCGGAAGCCAGCAUGGCCUGGGUAAAGAGACGCGAGCAGGGAGAGGCAGCAGGCGUCCCCUCUUGGAAGCAGACUUUGGAGGAGAGUGGACAUGGAGGGUCAAGUGUUUACCCAUCUGAAUUAGAGGCCCCAAUGGGAAAAGGAUUCGUGCCAGUGAGGGCUAUGGAGAUGGCAGGCUCAGAAAGCCACCAAGCUCAUGUCCGAGUGGUGUCUUUUCAGGUGGACAGUCUUGCUGAGGGGGCGCAGGAAGGAAUGUUCUGAGGAGCGCCCUAAUUGUUCAGAGCAGCCCCUGAAGCCGUCAAGCCAGAGUGUGCCUGGGCAGCCCUGGGCCCCGCGCCUCAGCUCACACAGCCCUGGGGGAGAAUCUGCACCCAGUGCUGCUGUACCUGGCCUGGCUUCAGGGGGGUAGAAAGGGGAGCAGAGGGCUGGGUCCCUCCACAGUUGAGGAUUUGCAAGGCAAGGAGGCCAGGAGUGCAGGAGGGUGCAGGAGGCCCCAACCAGCUGAAGGAAGCAGAGCAACCCAGGAGCUGGCAGCCUUGGCGAGGCUGGAGAAGCCCAGGCUGGGCCUAGGGGAGCGCUCCAGGGGGUCUCCACAACCUGUGUGGGCAUCUGGGUGGAGGCUUCUCAUCCAAACCGUACACAUGGAGUUUUUCCCUAGGAUGGCCGGCUCCUGCCAGAGUUCAACAUGGCGGAGCCUCCCUUGAUCUUCGAAUGCAACCACGCGUGCUCCUGCUGGAGGAACUGCCGAAAUCGCGUCGUACAGAAUGGUCUCAGGGCAAGGCUGCAGCUCUACCGGACGCGGGACAUGGGCUGGGGCGUGCGGUCCCUGCAGGACAUCCCACUAGGCACCUUUGUCUGCGAGUAUGUUGGGGAGCUGAUUUCAGACUCAGAAGCCGACGUUCGAGAGGAAGAUUCUUACCUCUUUGAUCUCGACAAUAAGGACGGGGAGGUUUACUGCAUCGACGCGCGGUUCUACGGGAACGUCAGCCGGUUCAUCAACCACCACUGCGAGCCCAACCUGGUGCCCGUGCGCGUGUUCAUGGCCCACCAGGACCUGCGGUUCCCCCGGAUCGCCUUCUUCAGCACCCGCCUGAUCGAGGCCGGCGAGCAGCUCGGGUUUGACUAUGGAGAGCGCUUCUGGGACAUCAAAGGCAGGCUCUUCAGCUGCCGCUGCGGCUCCCCCAAGUGCCGGCACUCGAGCGCGGCCCUGGCCCAGCGUCAGGCCAGCGCGGCCCAGGAGGCCCAGGAGGACGGCUUGCCCGACACCAGCUCCGCGGCUGCCGCCGACCCCCUAUGAGACGCCGCCGGCCAGCGGGGCGCUCGGGAGCCAGGGACCGCCGCGUCGCCGUUUAGAGGACGAGGAGGAGAGAUUCCGCACGGAACCGAAAGGGUCCUUCGGGGCUGCGCCGCCGGCUUCCUGGAGGGGUCGGAGGUGAGGCUGCAGCCCCUGCGGGCGGGUGUGGAUGCCUCCCAGCCACCUUCCCAGACCUGCGGCCUCACCGCGGGCCCAGUGCCCAGGCUGGAGCGCACACUUUGGUCCGCGCCCCAAAGACGCUGGGAGUCCGCACUGGCAUCACCUUCUGAGUUUCUGAUGCUGAUUUGUCGUUGCGAAGUUUCUCGUUUCUUCCUCUGACCUCCGAGGUCCCCGCUGCACCACGGGGUUGCUCUGUUCUCCUGUCCGGCCCAGACUCUUCUGUGUGGCGCCGCCGAAGCCACCGUUAGCGCGAGCUGCUCCGUUCGCCCUGCCCGCGGCCUGCGUGGCUGGCGCCGAGUCCCAGGGGCCGCACGGAGGGCACAGUCUCCUGUCAGGCUCGGAGAGGUCAGGAGACCGACCCCACCACUAACCUUGGAGAAAAUGUGGGUUUGCUUUUUAAAGGAAUCCUAUAUCUAGUCCUAUAUAUCAAACCUCUAACUGACGUUUCUUUUCGAGGAAGUGGCUUGGUGGGUGCAGCCCCCGCCGGUUCCGUUGACGCUGGCACCUUCUGUUGAUUUUUUAAGCCACAUGCUAUGAUGAAUAAACUGAUUUAUUUUCUACCAUUACUGAACAUUAGGACAAACAAAAAAUAAAAAACAAAACACAGACAA
This is an RNA transcript of Pan troglodytes (chimpanzee), 6076 nucleotides long. It is a transcript of the gene named euchromatic histone lysine methyltransferase 1, with no coding region annotated. The record is from RefSeq and is a predicted model, not a curated record. NCBI's taxonomy places the organism in Eukaryota, Metazoa, Chordata, Mammalia, Primates, Hominidae. The transcript has 28 exons.